UGAGAAUCCCACAGGCCGUAAACCCAAGGUUUCCAGGGGAAGGUUCGUCCGCCCUGGGUUAGUCGGGACCUAAGCUGAGGCCGAAAGGCGUAGGUGAUGGACAACAGGUUGAUAUUCCUGUACUACCAAUAAUCGUUUGAGAGAUGGGAUGACACAGUAGGAUAAGCUAAGCACACUGUUGGUUAUGUGUGCCCAAGCAUUGAGGCAGUCAGAGUAGGUAAAUCCGCUUUGAUAAUGCUGGGAUGUGAUGGGGAGCGAAAUUUAGUAGCGAAGUAGCUGAUUUCACACUGUCAAGAAAAGUCUCUAUCGAGGUUAAAGGUACCCGUACCGCAAACCGACACAGGUGGGUGAGGAGAGUAUCCUAAGGCCCGCGAGAGAACUGUUGUUAAGGAACUCGGCAAAAUGACCCCGUAACUUAGGGAUAAGGGGUGCCACCAUCCGGUGGCCGCAGAGAAUAGGCCCAAGCGACUGUUUACCAAAAACAUAGGUUUCUGCUAAGUCGCAAGACGAUGUAUAGGAGCUGACGCCUGCCCGGUGCUGGAAGGUUAAGGGGAUCUGUUAGAGCAAUCGAAGCAGUGAACUUAAGCCCCAGUAAACGGCGGCCGUAACUAUAACGGUCCUAAGGUAGCGAAAUUCCUUGUCGGGUAAGUUCCGACCCGCACGAAAGGCGUAA
Molecule: ribosomal RNA, 673 nt
Filed under: Clostridioides difficile
Lineage: Bacteria; Bacillati; Bacillota; Clostridia; Peptostreptococcales; Peptostreptococcaceae
Description: partial 23S ribosomal RNA
Rfam family: Bacterial large subunit ribosomal RNA
Source: RNAcentral